This 239-nucleotide long non-coding RNA is filed under the name Capsicum annuum. RNAcentral's name for it is "long non-coding RNA (CANN_LNC007981)". Lineage: Eukaryota; Viridiplantae; Streptophyta; Magnoliopsida; Solanales; Solanaceae. The record is from RNAcentral.
UCUUCCAAAGAUACUCCUCUUACUGAAGGAUAAAGUAGUCACUAUCAAAAUAUAGUAAUCCAAAUAGGUUGGAAUCUAUCCCACAGGGAAUACAUUAGAAAUCCUCAUCAAACAUGUUAAAAUCACUAGGCAAUGUGGAAAAAUAAAAGGGGGGAUUUGUAGUUACUAGUAGGAAGUAACAAGAAUUGAAUUAUUUUGGUUUUAAAUAAAUUAAGAUGAACACUAACCUUGCGUUCCCC